UAUAUUAUCUAGAGUCCCGACCGGUACCCGUCCUACCUGAAACACCCUCAAAUUUUAUUCGAGGUGAACUCUCUCAAAUUCGAGGUAAACUCUCUCAAAUUCGCUAUCGGUGAAUACAUGUGAGUGGAGAAAAAAAAAGCAAAAUGGGGGAUUGGGCUUAAAAGAAACUUAUGGAAUUUUUGUGACCUGUCAAAAAUGACAAUCAAUUUUGCAAAACAAAACAAUAGGUUUCGGAUUUUAAGAACCAAAAUUCUUUAUGAUGAAGAGGGUAUAUACAAGUUUACUUCAUUGAAUAAAAAUCUAUCUUUUCAUUUUAGAUAGUGCGAAUAACAUACUCUCAUACAGGAAGCAAUUUCCCUAAGAAAUCUGUAAGUCCAAGCACACAAAGGGCUGAUUUGCCGGAAGUUUUUUUGUAUAUUAUAUUUCUCUUAGCAAAAUACUUCUCAAGGGCCAUAGCUGCCUCAGGCGUUGACGGUGGAGGUGUCACCAUCUCUACCAAUAGUCAAACGCAUUCAAUGCAACAAAACCAUCAGCAACAACACUACCAAGUCAAUGAUGCAAGUUUAAGUUUUGCCAUUCAAUAUUCGACCGUUAACGCCUUACUCCCAGCAGCUGAGUGUUGGUGUUGAAACAAAAUAACAGCACCAACUGGCAACUCAAUAUUCAUCAGCUGCCAAGAAAUAAAAUGCGAGCCGUUCAAAAAAAAA
Eupeodes corollae is the source of this 707-nucleotide long non-coding RNA. RefSeq lists it as uncharacterized. Lineage: Eukaryota; Metazoa; Arthropoda; Insecta; Diptera; Syrphidae. The transcript has 3 exons. The record is from RefSeq and is a predicted model, not a curated record.